AUGGUCGAAGCCAUCAGGCGCGCGGCGCGAAGGAACGGCCAUGGCCCGCUCUCGAAGGCAGCACACGGGCCAGCGUCGCAGUCGACAAAUGGCCGUGACUGCGCCCCUCUCCGCCCGUUGCGGCCACGACGAGAAACAACACGGCAGCGCCGCCCUACGGCGCGGCUCGCUGUAGGCGGACUCCCCUCGAGGCUCCUGGCGGCACGGUCGCUAGAGAACGCCCUUAAACGCACGCGGCGCCGUCAGUUUUCUCUGGCCAGCAGUACGCGGCAGUUACGGGAAAAACUCACGAUUUGGAACCGCUCAAGAGAGAUGAGGAAUCUUAUCUCUUUGGCAUUUCUACAGUUUAGCCCUUGUACUUGUGUAUAUUCACAUAUACGUUCCUGCAAAUUGAGGGUACAGGAGUCCUCGGACUUGGUUUGUUCUCUAGUUUAG
This 435-nucleotide ribosomal RNA is filed under the name Triticum aestivum (bread wheat). RNAcentral's name for it is "partial small subunit ribosomal RNA". Lineage: Eukaryota; Viridiplantae; Streptophyta; Magnoliopsida; Poales; Poaceae. The record is from RNAcentral.